RNAcentral lists this transfer RNA (19 nucleotides) under Crocidura beata (Mindanao shrew). RNAcentral describes it as "partial tRNA-Thr". Lineage: Eukaryota; Metazoa; Chordata; Mammalia; Eulipotyphla; Soricidae. The record is from RNAcentral.
AUAGAGCCUUAGUAGUAUA